GCCGCUGUAAACAUCCGACUGAAAGCUCUUCUCAACACCUUACAGCUUCCAGUCAAGGAUGUUUACAGUAGC
Molecule: microRNA precursor, 72 nt
Filed under: Cricetulus griseus (Chinese hamster)
Lineage: Eukaryota; Metazoa; Chordata; Mammalia; Rodentia; Cricetidae
Description: mir-30
Source: RNAcentral